CUUCGGAUUGGUUUAAAGAAGGGGGCAACUCCACUCUUGGAACCGAGAAGUUGGUCAAACUUGGUCAUUUAGAGGAAGUAAAAGUCGUAACAAGGUUUCCGUAGGUGAACCUGCGGAAGGAUCAUUACAGUAUUUGGACGUAAUUCUUCUAGUAUUUUGCCAGCGCUUAAUUGCGCGGCGAGUGCUAUUAGAAGUCCAUAAAUUCUUACACACAGUGUUUUUUGUUUGUGAAAAAAAUUUACUUUGGUCUGGAGCUAGAAAUAGUUUUGGGCCAGAGGGCAACCUAACUUCAAUUUAUAUUGAAUUGUUUUUAAAUAUAUUUGUCAAAUUAUUGAUAUUAAUCAAAAAUCUUCAAAACUUUCAACAACGGAUCUCUUGGUUCUCGCAUCGAUGAAGAACGCAGCGAAAUGCGAUAAGUAAUAUGAAUUGCAGAUUUUCGUGAAUCAUCGAAUCUUUGAACGCACAUUGCGCCCUUUGGUAUUCCAAAGGGCAUGCCUGUUUGAGCGUCAUUUCUCUCUCAAACCGCAAGGUUUGGUGUUGAGCGAUAUAGAUAUUCAGUAUCUAUUUGCUUGAAAUGGAUUGGCAUGAGUAUUUACAGUAGAUAAAUGCCGUUUGACUCUUCAAUGUAUUAGGUCUAACCAACUCGUUGAAACAGUUAGCGGUAGUAUCUGUGUAAAAGAGGCUCGGCCUUACAACAAUCUACAAAGUUGACCUCAAUCAAUACCCUUACAACAAUCUACAAAGUUUGACCUCAAAUCAGGUAGGAAUACCCGCUGAACUUAAGCAUAUCAAUAAGCGGAGGAAAAGAAACCAACAGGGAUUGCCUUAGUAACGGCGAGUGAAGCGGCAAAAGCUCAAAUUUGAAAUCUGGCGUCUUCGGCGUCCGAGUUGUAAUUUGAAGAAGGCUACUUUGGGGCUGGAGUUUGUCUAAGUUCCUUGGAACAGGACGUCACAGAGGGUGAGAAUCCCGUGAGAUAAGCUUCCCAGUUCUAUGUAAAGUGCUUUCGAAGAGUCGAGUUGUUUGGGAAUGCAGCUCUAAGUGGGUGGUAAAUUCCAUCUAAAGCUAAAUAUUGGCGAGAGACCGAUAGCGAACAAGUACAGUGAUGGAAAGAUGAAAAGAACUUUGAAAAGAGAGUGAAAAAGUACGUGAAAUUGUUGAAAGGGAAGGGCUUGAGAUCAGACAUGGUAUUUUGCAAACCUUCUCUCUCGUGGAGGGGGCCCCUUGCAGUUUACUGGGCCAGCAUCAGUUUGGGCGGUAGGAUAAUGACUAAGGAAUGUGACUUGCCUUCGGGGAAGUGUUAUAGCCUUGGUUGAUACUGCCAGCCUAGACUGAGGACCGCGUCUUUGACAAGGAUGUUGGCAUAAUGAUCUUAAGCCACCCGUCUUGAAACACGGACCAAGGAGUCUAACGUCUAUGCGAGUGUUUGGGUGUAAAACCCGUACGCGUAAUGAAAGUGAACGUAGGUGAGAGCUCCUAGAGAGUGCAUCAUCGACCGAUCCUGAUGUUCUCGGAUGGAUUUGAGUAAGAG
This 1529-nucleotide ribosomal RNA is filed under the name Millerozyma farinosa. RNAcentral's name for it is "LSU rRNA". The stretch from base 747 to 1529 matches the Rfam family "Eukaryotic large subunit ribosomal RNA", at positions 1 to 800 of the family's 3401-position model. The record is from RNAcentral. Lineage: Eukaryota; Fungi; Ascomycota; Pichiomycetes; Serinales; Debaryomycetaceae.